Molecule: long non-coding RNA, 1449 nt
Organism: Neltuma alba
Lineage: Eukaryota; Viridiplantae; Streptophyta; Magnoliopsida; Fabales; Fabaceae
Exons: 3
Source: RefSeq, a predicted model, not a curated record
AUUUCAUUAAUGAUCAUAUCAAGAGGUUAAUUUUCCAAUGAGCAAACUGAUUUCAGGAUAACAAUCAUGUCCCUGCAGUUACUUUUCCCUAGGAACGUUUACUUGCAAUAUUUAAGUUUCUUAAUUGCUGUUUUGAGGGAACAUUGAGUUGUAAUUAACAUUUGCUUAAUCUUAUUGUAUUUUUAAGAAAGGCUUCUAUAGAUGAGUUGUUUCAUUUUAAAAGUGUGUUUCUCUAUAUAGUUUUUUUUUUUUUCAUUUAGUUGUUCUGAUGAUUCACUAAUAAGUUGCUUCAUUUUCUGUCACUGUUUUUUCUCAGUGGACUGUAGUGAUGGAGUUAUAUUGUAAUCUUUCCUCUCUUAAUCUCAGCAAGUGCAAUGCAAGUGUGAUUGUGAAAGUAGACCAGAAGUAUAUCAGGAAGAAGGUGUGGUAUACUUUGGAAAAUCGUCAUCCUGUUUUUGAAGUGGAAUCUAUGGACAUAUUCUUUUUUGAUGCUUAGUCAUGUAAUCUUGCAGUUAAUGACCAAUGAUCACAUUGAUCGAUUUGCAUCGAAGUUCGUUGAAGGUGGUGUGCACCAAAUUUCUGGUAUGUUCAUGUUGGUGGUCUUAGUCUGCAUGACAGAUAGUAUAUAUGUUUUGUCGCUUCAACCGAGGUUAUAGAGAGAAUAGAUGAGUUUCCCUGUUAUUCAUUUAACUUGAAAAAUGUUUUUGACAUUUGCUAUGGAAUAUUUGAAGAAUUUUUUUUAUGGUAAGAUUUUGUGAUGAUUUUUUAUUUCUAACCGUUGAAGCCCUGAAGGAAAAUCUGAUUUCUGAAAAAGUUUUGGGUGAUAAAGAUAUUUAUGGACUUUUGAAAUAUUGGAGUUUUGUUAGUCCUAUAAAGCUUAUUGGAGUAUACAGGGAGGAAUUGGAGAUCGUAAGACAUGAGAUGGUCACGUUAGAAGGAUGGUACUAUGGUUUUGAUCUUGUAAGCUUAAUGUGUUAUCCCAUUUGAAUUUACAUACUGAUACUUUCAUCAUUUUGGGGUUAUGGAAAUUAAAUUUUGUCAGUCAGCCGAAGGAGUUGACUAUUAAGCUUCAUGAUGAGUGUGCUGCGAUUACUCUUGCCAAGAUAGAAGCCAGGGGGUGAAAGCUGAAGAUUUUCUGAUUAUAUAAUAUGCUAUUGGCAUGCUUCAUAAGAACGAUGGUGGACCCGUGCUUAGCUCAUUUUCAGGUGCCACAAGAGUGUUAUUUGAUGAUGAUCUUAAGUAGCUGUUGUACUUGUGCACCACGAUUGCUGUCGGGAAUAUUUACCUCCAUAAUAUUUUUCUUAUUUUCUUUUUCUGUGUUGUAUGUAUCCCUCCUCUUUUUAAAUCAUCGGGUAAUUUUUGUGAAGUUCAUGGCCAUGUAAUUAGCAGCAUAUGCUUUGAAAGAGUUGCUCUAAUCUCAUCUUGACAUGAUGUCCCCACAUUAAGUGA